UAAAAAACGAUGAUGGAAAAAGUACGUAUUUGUGCGUGUAAAAGAAAGGGAUUUCUUGGCUGAAAAAAUCCUCACAAUAGCAAAUGCCGAAAGCUACUCCAGAGUGCAGUUAAUCCCUGCCGUUCACUUACGUUACAAGUGCUAAAGAGGUAAGUAUACUUUUACUUACAACUAGGGUGGUACCGCGAGACAAAUCAUAAGUCCUCGUCCCUUUA
Molecule: non-coding RNA, 215 nt
Filed under: Lysinibacillus xylanilyticus
Lineage: Bacteria; Bacillati; Bacillota; Bacilli; Caryophanales; Bacillaceae
Description: T-box sequence
Rfam family: T-box leader
About the family: Uncharged tRNA acts as the effector for transcription antitermination of genes in the T-box leader family. T-boxes are found upstream of many aminoacyl-tRNA synthetase genes and some amino acid biosynthetic genes usually in Gram-positive bacteria.
Source: RNAcentral